Molecule: ribosomal RNA, 251 nt
Filed under: uncultured archaeon
Lineage: Archaea
Description: partial 16S ribosomal RNA
Rfam family: Archaeal small subunit ribosomal RNA
Source: RNAcentral
AGAUACCCGCGUAGUCCCAGCCCUAAACGAUGCGCGUUAGGUGUAUCGGUGACCACGAGUCACCGAGGUGCCGAAGGGAAACCGUGAAACGUGCCGCCUGGGAAGUACGGUCGCAAAGGCUGAAACUUAAAGGAAUUGCGGGGAGCACCACAACGGGUGGAGCCUGCGGUUUAAUUGGACUCAACGCCGGGAAGCUCACCGGAUAAGACAGCGGAAUGAUUGCCGGGCUGAAGACCCUGCAUGACCAGCUG